RNAcentral lists this ribosomal RNA (446 nucleotides) under uncultured bacterium. Its description in RNAcentral is "partial 16S ribosomal RNA". It matches the Rfam family "Bacterial small subunit ribosomal RNA", at positions 338 to 795 of the family's 1533-position model. The record is from RNAcentral.
CCUACGGGUGGCAGCAGUAGGGAAUUUUCGGCAAUGGGGGGAACCCUGACCGAGCAACGCCGCGUGAGCGAAGAAGUUAUUCGUAAUGUAAAGUUCUUUUAACAGGGAAGAAAGAGAAAUUUGACGGUACCUGAAGAAUAUGCUCCGGAUAACUACGUGCCAGCAGCCGCGGUAAUACGUGGGGAGCGAGCGUUAUCCGGAAUUAUUGGGGGGAAAGGGUGGGUAGAUGGCUUAGUAAGUCUGUGGUAAAAAGGCUGGGUGAAACCCAGUAGGGCAAAAGAUACUGCAAAGCUAGAGUAUGAGAGAGGCAAGUGGAAUGACCGGUGUAGCGGUAAAAUGCGUAAAGAUCUGGAAGAACACCAGUGGCGAAGGCGGCUUGCUGGGUCCAUACUGACGUUGAGGCACGAAAGCGUGGGGAGCGAACAGGAUUAGAUACCCGAGUAGUC